Long non-coding RNA from Hypanus sabinus (Atlantic stingray), 5430 nucleotides. RefSeq lists it as uncharacterized. NCBI's taxonomy places the organism in Eukaryota, Metazoa, Chordata, Chondrichthyes, Myliobatiformes, Dasyatidae. The transcript has 4 exons. The record is from RefSeq and is a predicted model, not a curated record.
AAUUCUGUCGUCCUCCAUUCCCUUCAUGUUCAUAUGCCUGGCCCCAAUGUCUUAUACUAGCGUUUCUGCUUCCGUCACUUUCCCCAGCAGCCCAUUCCAGGCACCUACCAUUCUCUGGAAAAAAACUUGUCCCGCACAUCUCCCUUAAACUUUCGCCCCUCUCACUUUAAAGUUACGCCUUCUAGUAUGUUAAAUUUCUAACCUGGGAAAGAGACUGUGACUAAUUUCGGAGUUAGGACCGUUAAUCCAGGCGGGCAUGGGGACAAGCAGCCGAAUACAACCUCGUGGGUACUACGAACAAACAGCAGCCGUUGGAAAUCUAGGUGGGCUUUAGGACCUAGCAGCCGCUGAUAACAUCGCAGGUGCCCGAACCGAGCGGUGAUUGUAACACGGUCGGCGCUAAGACCCAGCAGCCCGCGGUAAUCUCACGGGCGCCAAGACCCAGCAGCCUAUGGUAAUCUCGCGGGCGCCAGCACUGAAUAGCCGGUCAAUGACCUCGCGAGCGACAGGACCAAGCAGUUGACGGUGGUGACCCGGGCAGGCGCUUGGGAUCAACCCCCACCACCUCCAUCAACAGCUGGUGGUAAUACGGCGGGUAUCAGGACCUGGCGGUGCUCCCGCCUAGAGGCAGUCAAGUCCCCCUCAGAAGCGCCGAACUGUGUGCGAGGAUCUGGCUGCGUCGGAGCCACCGUUGGCCGUUUGAAGGUGCAUUUUGCAGUGUGUGUUUCACUUGAAACAAGGCUUGAGAAACUCUUGAUAACUCCUUCAUCUGUGCUGCUGCUUCACAUCUGGUUUGAGUGUUCACCUACUCAGGAAAUGGAGUAUGGAGUGAAGAAUAUUGAAUCAUAAGACUGGUCGGCCCUCCGUAUCCGCGGGUUCUACAUCCGCAGGUUCAACCAACUACGGAUCAAAAAUAUUCGAAAAAAAAUUCCUGAAAGUUCCAAAAAGCAAAACUUGAAUUUGUCGUGCGCUGAGCACUACACUGAAUCCACGCAAAUGAAGUGAUGUGUAGGCAUACCCUGCUGUAGCUUCUCGCCAUUUCACAGAUCCUCAGUUUCUCUCCAGCACUGUUUGAGCAUUGUUCGCCUCGCAUCUCGUUCAUUCGCUCCUUGUUUUGUGAGCGAGAGGAAGGAGUUUAAGGCUAGUAAGGGAUGUCUGGCUAGUUAUGUAAAGCGCUACAGCCUCAAGAACUUAAAGAUCACAGGAGAAUCAGGAUUGGCUGACGCCGAGGCGACAUCAGCGUUCCCAGAAGAGCUACGAUGGUUGCGUCCGUACUGAACAUGUACAGACCUUUUUUUUGUCAUUAUUCCCUAAACAAUACAGUAUAACAACUAUUUACACCGUAUUUACAUUGUAUUAGGUAUUAUAAGUAAUCUAGAGAUGAUUUAAAGUAUACGGGAGGAUGUGCGUAGGUUAUAUGCAAGUACUACGGCAUUUUAUAUAAGGGACUUGGGUAUCCGCGGGGGUUCCUGGAACCAAUCCCCCGCAGAUACUGAAGGAUGACUGUAUUUACUAACACAGAAACACGAGCAACAUGCACAGAAUUUCAGAGUUCGGAGUUCAGUUCUGACACAGUCUGUUAAUAAAAAAAAGUUUGUAUGAACUUCCUGUGGGCAUGUGGGAUUCCUCUGGGUGCUCUGGUAUCUUCUCACAUUCCAAAGAUGUACCAGUUAAUAGGUUAAUUGGUCAUUGUAAAUUGUCCUGUGAUUAGUCCAGAGUUAAAUAAGUGGGUUGCUGGGUGGUGUGACUUGUUGAGCUGGAAGGACCUGUUCCGCCCUGUAUCCCUAAAUAAUAAAUAAAUAAAUAGAUAAAUAAAUAAAUAAAGUUUACUAGGCCGUGCAGCAUCUAUGGAGGGGAAUAAACGGUCAGUGUUUUAUAUUUUAAUUUUUAAAUUGUCAAGCCAUGCCACCCAGCAAUCCUCGAUUUAAUCCUAGCCGAAUCAUAGGUCAGUUUCUAAUGACCAAUUAACCUCCCAAUUGGUAAGUCUGUGGGAGGAAACCAGAGCACCUGGAGAAAACCCAUGUAGUCACAGGAAGAACAUAUGAACUCCUUACAGGCUGUGGCAGCAAUUGAGCCCAGGUUGCCUGGACUGUAAAGCAUUGAGCUAACCACUAUGCUACUGUGCUGCCCUAGUUUUGGGCUGAGACCCUUCAUUGGGACCAGAAAAGAAGGGGGGUGGAAACCAGAAUAAGGAGGGGAGAGGGAAAGGAGUACAAGCUGGCAGGUGGUAGGUGAGACCAGGUGAGGGAGAAGGUGGUUGGUUGGGGGAAGUGUCUCAGUCCGAAAUAUCGGCUGUUUAUUCCCCUCCAUGGAUGCUGCCUGCCUUGCUAUUUAUUUACUGCUUGUUUAAAAAUUAAAUUCUGUUGACAUCAAUGUGAUUUGAAGCUUCACAAACAGACUGCUAAGUAUGCUUGAGUACUUUUGACCACACUCCAGAAUGAGAAUAGCCCAGCUACAGAAGUCUGUAGUGUUCAUGUGAUGCUUCCGUUUGCCACAUUCUGAAGCCAAGCACCAGGACAGUGUCAACUCAUGCAUUGAAGCAAAAGAGAAAAUGGGCCUUCCAGUUAAUACCCCCAAGAUAAAGGUCCUCUACCAGUCUGCCCAGCUGCACCAUAGUGCACAGUAAAAAUGAAGGUUCCUGCAUUGAAAUGUUGAGGUUUUCUUAGUUUAGGUUGUUAUCAGUGAUUAAAUUCACCAUCCUCUUCAGUGCUCCAAGGUUGUAAUCAAUCCAUUGUUUCUGGUGCCACAAGCAGCAAGUAUAUAGGAAUAACAGGAUAUGUCACAUAAAUGUGUGGCUAAAGGAAUGGCACAGGAGAAUGGCCUUCAGGUUCAUGGAUCAUUGGGAGUGAUUUUAAGGAAGAUGUGACCUGUCUAAGCAGGUUGUACCUUAACCAAAGUGGGAUUAACGUCCUUGCUGGGAGGUGUGAGUGCACUGUUAGAGAAAAUUUAAACUAAGUUGGCAAGAGAAAGGGCCUUGGUAGAUGGAGAGGUACAGUCACCUAGAGGAGAAAUAGUUAAUAAGUCCAGUAGGCAGAAUAACCAAGUAAGGGAAUUCAAAGUUAAAUUGCAUCUAUUUUAAUGCAAGUAGAACUAGUAAAGUAGAUGACUUCAGAAGUUUUUAUUUAUACGGAGGGGUAUGAUAUCAUGGUCAUAUCUGAGACAUAGAACAAAGUACAGGGACAGGCACUUUGGCCCAUAAUAUUGUGCUGAACUAAUUAAAUUAAUGAUCAAGUGCCCAACUAACCUAAACCCCUCUGCCUACACAAUAUCCAUAUACUUCCAUUUCAUGCACACAUCUGUGUCUAUGCAAUAAAUGCCUCUAUUGUAUUUGCCUCCACUACCACCCCAGGCAGUGCAUUCCAGGCAUCCAUCACUCUGUUUUUUAAAAAAAAGUAAGAAAAUUACUCUGCACAUCUCCUUUGAACUUCCCCUCUCACCUUAAAUGCAUACCCUCUGGUAUUAGAUAUUUCAACCCUGAGAAAAAGAUACUGUCUGUCAACUCUGUCUAUGCCUCUCAUAAAUCUUAUAAACCUCUAUCAGAUCUCCCCUCAGUCUCCACUGUUCAAAAGAACAACCCUGGUUUGUCCAACCUCUCCUUAUAACAUGUCCUCUAAUCCAGAGAGCAUCCUGUUAAACAACUUCUGCACCCUUUUCAAAGCCACCCUCCCUUAAGUGGGGCAACCCUUUAUAUUGUUGGCUCUUUGAUAGACAUGGUCGAAGGAUGGGUAUUACUGGCAACUCAGUAACCCAGGGUGUAGAAUUUUCAGCAAGAUAACAGAAGAGGGAGUAUUAAUUACACUGUGUAAGUAGAGAUUAGAAACAAUUAAGGUGUUGUCACUUUGGAGUGUAUUACAAAUCUUCCAACAGUUAAAAGGAGAAGGAGGAACAGAUAGGUAGGCAAAUAUCAGAGGCACAAUAAAAAUAGGGUUAUUGUACUAGGGAUUUCAACUUAUCAAGUAUCAGCUGGGAUUGCCUCAGCAUUAAAGCCUUGGGGGUGGGGGAGAGAAUUUUUGAGGUGUGUUCUUGAGAAAUGCAGCUGGUCAAGUGGAGGGGAGUAUCAGUAAGCGAUUAUUUUGGAGAUGGUUAUAAUUCUGUAUAUUUUAAAUUGGUUACAGAAAAGGGUAGGGAUGUAUCAAUAAUAAAGGUCUUAAAUUUGGGUAAAGCCAAUUUCAUUAACAUAAAGUUGGACCUGGCAAAGGUGGAUUGGGAACAUCUAUGUCUGCACAACAGGAUGUAUUCAAAAGAGAAAUAACAAAAUUUCAAGUCGAACACAUUCCUGUAAGGGCAAAAGCCAGGGAUAACAAGUAUCAGGAACCCCAGAUAUUGAAGACUGUAUAAAGAGAUAAAAGGAAGCAUAUGGUAGAUAUAGGGAGCUAAUGACUGAGGAGGCCUGUUAACAGUGUAAUAAAAAAAGGAAACUUGGGGAGGUUGAGAUUGGUCAGAGGAACUCAUGGUCAGAUAAGAUUUAGGUAAAUAUGACGGUGUUCAAUAAGAUUGAAGUAUAUAAAAAUAAUGAGGGGUAUAGAUUAGAGAGACUGCAGGAAACUGUUUCACCCCCCUCUUCUCUUUUUCCAUUCCCCUUUCUGGUUACCGUCUUAUCCCUUCUCCAACAUGUUCAUCACCUCCUCAUUCCCUUUCUCCCAUGUUCUAUUGGCCUCUCCCAUCAGGUUCUACCUUCUUCAGCCCUUUAAUUCUUCCACCUGUCACCUCUUAUUAUUUCAACAUUCCACCCAUCCACCCACCCAACUUCCCAAUUACCUGGUUUCACCUCUCUUUUGCCAGUUUGUACACCUCUCCCGCCUUCUUAUUUUGGCUUCUACCGCUUCCUUUUCAGUCCUGAUGAAGGAACUUGGCCUGAAACUUAACUUAGUUCCCCUCCAAGAAACACUUGCUGUGUUUCUCCAACAGUUUGUGCGUGAUGCUCAAGAUUUCCAGCAUCUGUAGAAUCUCUUCUGUUUAAUUUCAGUAGAAGAGUUUGAAGGUGCCUUGUAGGCCUGAUCAGUCAUCUCAGAACCCAUAAAAGCACAAUGAAAACAAGUUAUCCUGGAACCCAAAGGUCUGUUUAAGAAGACAGACUAAUUAUUCCUUUGAAUACGAUGUUGUAAGUUGUAACACAUAAAAACAGAACUCAAAAUGUUACUUGACAAAAUUUUAAAUUAAUUUUUGAUUUUUUUUUGGUGCUGCCAUGUCACAAUGAAGUAUUUGAAUAGAUCAAUUGUAAUAAAAAAUAUUCUUUAAAUGAAUUUCCACAAUUGAAAUAUCUAUGUUUACACUAAAACAGUGGUGAACUUUGUGCAUACACACAGCUGUUGUUUAACAAACAGCUUUGGGGAGGGGAAAAUGCGAAAUGAUAGGAGAAGACCGGAGGGGGUGGGGUGAAGCUGAGAGCCGGAAAGGUGAUUGGCAAAAGGGAUACAGAGCUGGAAAAGG